RNAcentral lists this ribosomal RNA (261 nucleotides) under uncultured bacterium. RNAcentral describes it as "partial 16S ribosomal RNA". It matches the Rfam family "Bacterial small subunit ribosomal RNA", at positions 793 to 1055 of the family's 1533-position model. The record is from RNAcentral.
GUCCACGCCGUAAACUAUGAACACUAGGUGUGGGGUAUCGACCCCUCCGUGCCGCAGCUAACGCAAUAAGUGUUCCGCCUGGGGAGUACGGCCGCAAGGCUAAAACUCAAAGGAAUUGACGGGGCCCGCACAAGCAGCGGAGCGUGCGGUUUAAUUCGUCGCAACGCGAAGAACCUUACCAAGGCUUGACAUGCUAGUGGUACUGAUCCGAAAGGUGAGGGACCCUUCGGGGAGCUAGCACAGGUGCUGCAUGGCUGUUGU